ACCUACGGGGGGCAGCAGUAGGGAAUUUUCGUCAAUGGGCGCAAGCCUGAACGAGCAAUGCCGCGUGAACGAGGAAGGUCUUCGGAUCGUAAAGUUCUGUUGAAGGGGAAAAAGAGCGGAGAGAGGAAAUGGUCUCCGAUUGAUAUUACCCUUCGAGGAAGUCACGGCUAACUACGUGCCAGCAGCCGCGAUAAUACGUAGGUGGCGAGCGUUAUCCGGAAUGAUUGGGCGUAAAGGGUGCGUAGGCGGCCUGCUAAGUCUGGAGUGAAAGGUACCGGCUCAACCGGUACAGGCUCUGGAAACUG
This 305-nucleotide ribosomal RNA is filed under the name uncultured bacterium. RNAcentral's name for it is "bacterial SSU rRNA". It matches the Rfam family "Bacterial small subunit ribosomal RNA", at positions 337 to 635 of the family's 1533-position model. The record is from RNAcentral.